GGCAGGCCUGGGCCAGUCUUCAGAGACCUGAGAUUAAACUUGAAUCACUGAAAGAAGAUAUUAAGGAAUUCUUUAAAAUAUCAGGUUGGGAGAAGAAACUUCAGAAUGCUGUUUAUAGUGAACUGAGUGUGUUUCCUUUACCUAGUCAUCCUGCUGCACCUCCUGAACAUCUUAAAGAACCUUUGGUAUACAUGAGGAAAGCACAGGGAAGUUGGGAAAAAAGAAUUUUGAAGAGUUUAAAUAGUAUGUGCACUGAACUAAGUAUCCCGCUGGCACGAAAGAGGCCAGCUGGAGAACAGAAAGAACUUCUUAAUAAAUGGAAUGAAAUGGGAACUGAUGAACCAGAUUUAAGCCUUUUCAGACCUGUUUAUGCACCUAAGGAUUUUCUUGAGGUAUUAAUUAAUCUUCGCAACCCAAAUUAUGAAAACGGUGAUUCUCUUAGUUUCAGGACUCAUUUGGGUUUAAUUCAAGUUCCACUGAAAGUAAAAGACAUCCCUGAAUUGGGAGCUCUUGGUAGAAGUGCUUCAAACAAGGUCAUAAACAAGAAGCAAAACAUGAGACCCAGAAAACAGGAUCCCAACCAAAGAGAAAGAGAAUUUCCACAAAUGAUAGUGAAGAGAAGUUCCAGGACAAAGGCUGUACAACUGGACUGAAACACAACAACCCUAGAUUGGAGCAGGAGGUUGGAAGGUUCCAGGAUGGAUGCCUGCAA
Molecule: small RNA, 712 nt
Filed under: Pongo abelii (Sumatran orangutan)
Lineage: Eukaryota; Metazoa; Chordata; Mammalia; Primates; Hominidae
Description: processed transcript
Source: RNAcentral